Molecule: ribosomal RNA, 499 nt
Filed under: uncultured bacterium
Lineage: Bacteria
Description: partial 16S ribosomal RNA
Rfam family: Bacterial small subunit ribosomal RNA
Source: RNAcentral
GACGAACGCUGGCGGCGUGCCUAAUACAUGCAAGUCGAGCGGACUGAAUGGGAGCUUGCUCUUGUUCGGUCAGCGGCGGACGGGUGAGUAACACGUGGGCAACCUGCCCGCAAGACCGGGAUAACUCCGGGAAACCGGAGCUAAUACCGGAUAACACCGAAGACCGCAUGGUCUUUGGUUGAAAGGCGGCGCAAGCUGCCACUUGCGGAUGGGCCCGCGGCGCAUUAGCUAGUUGGUGAGGUAACGGGUGACCAAGGCGACGAUGCGGAGCCGGCCUGAAGGGGUGGACGGCCACAAUGGGAAUUGGAACAGGGCCAGACCUCUUCGGGAGGCAGCAAGAAGGGAACUUCCGCCAUGGGGGGAAGCCUGGAGGGGCGACGGCGCGUGGGCGGAGAAGGGCCUCGGGUCGUAAAGCUCUGUUGUGAGGGACGAAGGAGCGCCGUUUGAAGAAGGCGGCGCGGUGACGGUACCUCACGAGGAAGCCCCGGCUAACUACGUG